Molecule: long non-coding RNA, 804 nt
Filed under: Bos taurus (domestic cattle)
Lineage: Eukaryota; Metazoa; Chordata; Mammalia; Artiodactyla; Bovidae
Description: long non-coding RNA NONBTAT026316
Source: RNAcentral
GACAAUUGGUGUACUCUCAUAACAAAAUUUACUACAUGAUUUAUUUUUUUAAGUGCUAAACAGAUGGUUUCACAUUAUUAUUAAAAUUAAUGUUUUAACUCCGUAUAUUUUACAUCUUUCAGAAUCCGAAUCUUGAACUGCCUAUGUUAUUAUCCUACAAGCAUAUUGACAGUGGUUACAGAUAAAAGAGAAAGCAUGAAGAAACAACUUCAAAAAGUUAUCAUCUCAGGAUACUUGAUAUGCAACUAACUAAACCACUAUCUUAUGUCUGAGGUUCAGAAUAAAUGUCCAGUAAAAUACCAAAUGACUCUCUUAAGCAUUUAUAAUUAUUAUAAGUAGCCAUUAUGGCCAAAGCUCUAAGUUAUGAAUUAUAUGAAAGUUGAAAGCAAGAAUAUAUAGAAUUUCUGGCUUUAGAUAGAAUAACUAUCAAAUGGGUGCUUUUUUAACCCAUGAACUCUGUGAAUGGAUUUAAAUAUGAUAGAAUAAAGUAGAAGUCAUGCAAUGGGAAUGAACAGAUUUUGCUAAACUUACUUUUUUGCCUGGCAAAAGAAAUAUGCUGUUUGGAUCACAUUUCUUGUUCCUACUGAAUGAUGAUCUUAAAUUUUUUCCACAUAUGAAAGGAAUACUUGAAAAUAUAAAAGAACUAAAUCAAUGCAUCAGAUAGUAGGUAAUCCUUUCUGUUUACCUACAUGCUGAUUAUCCUUGCCAAAAAGUGCAUUGAAAGGUGGAAUGUUAACCCUGGGUAUUUUUGCAAAAAUUGGAGAAGAAGGAAGAAUAGCUUAUUUAAAACUGUUAACAGUUUCU